Molecule: ribosomal RNA, 466 nt
Filed under: uncultured bacterium
Lineage: Bacteria
Description: partial 16S ribosomal RNA
Rfam family: Bacterial small subunit ribosomal RNA
Source: RNAcentral
GACGAACGCUGGCGGCGUGCUUAACACAUGCAAGUCGAACGGAAAGGCCCUGCUUGCAGGGUACUCGAGUGGCGAACGGGUGAGUAACACGUGGGUGAUCUGCCCUGCACUUCGGGAUAAGCCUGGGAAACUGGGUCUAAUACCGGAUAGGAGCCAUUUUUAGUGUGAUGGUUGGAAAGUUUUUUUCGGUGUAGGAUGAGCUCGCGGCCUAUCAGCUUGUUGGUGGGGUAAUGGCCUACCAAGGCGGCGACGGGUAGCCGGCCUGAGAGGGUGGACGGCCACAUUGGGACUGAGAUACGGCCCAGACUCCUACGGGAUGCAGCAGUGGGGAAUAUUGCACAAUGGGCGCAAGCCUGAUGCAGCGACGCCGCGUGGGGGAUGACGGCCUUCGGGUUGUAAACUCCUUUCGCUAGGGACGAAGCUUUUUGUGACGGUACCUAGAUAAGAAGCACCGGCUAACUACGUG